AGGGGGAUAGCCUCUCGAAAGAGAGAUUAACACCGCAUAACAUUUUACCGGCAUCGGUUUUUGAUCAAAUAUUUAUAGGAUAUGGAUGGGCUCGCGUGACAAGCUAGUUGGAGAGGUAACGGCUCACCAAGGCUACGAUGUCUAGGGGCUCUGAGAGGAAUCCCCCACACUGGUACUGAGACACGGACCAGACUCCUACGGGAGGCAGCAGUAAGGAAUUGGUCAAUGGAGGCAACUCUGAACCAGCCAUGCCGCGUGCAGGAUGACUGCCCUAUGUUGUAAACUGCUUUUGUCAGGGAAUAAACCUUUCUACGUGUAGAAAGCUGAAUGUACGAAGAAUAAGGAUCGGCUAACUCCGUGCCAGCAGCCGCGGUAAUACGGAGGAUCCAAGUUAUCCGGAUUUAUUGGGUUUAAAGGGUGCGUAGGCGGUCCUAUAAGUCAGUGGUGAAACGGCAGCUUAACUGUCGCAGUGCCUUUGAUACUGUAGGACUUGAAUCUAUUUGAAGUGCGGAAUAAGACAAGUAGCGGUGAAAUGCAUAGAUAUGUCUUAGAACUCCGAUUGCGAGCAGCUCACUAAGUUAGUAUUGACGCUGAUGCACGAAAGCGUGGGGAUCAAACAGGAUGAUACCCUGGUAGUCCACGCCCUAAACGAUGAUAACUCGAUGUUUGCGAUACACCAGU
RNAcentral lists this ribosomal RNA (681 nucleotides) under uncultured bacterium. RNAcentral describes it as "bacterial SSU rRNA". It matches the Rfam family "Bacterial small subunit ribosomal RNA", at positions 137 to 837 of the family's 1533-position model. The record is from RNAcentral.